CGCAGGCAGCAGCGCGUCCAGCGGGAUGUAGAGGCUCGUCCUCCGGCUGUCGCUCCCCCAUCCCACCCCAGGCUCCCGGCUUUGUUGAGCGGGAGAGACACCCCGGCCUGCGAGCGUCGCCUGAAGGUGCCGUCAGUUCGCGCGCGCUUACACGUGAGGUCACCCGGCUGCUAUCCUGUCCACUCAUCUGCAAGUGCUGCUUUCGUCCAGCCAGAUAAUUCGGUACUUGGAUGUCAGUCCUUCUGGAGCCCUGAGCCUGUGUCAUCCCAUCCUGACUGCACCACGCCCAGGAUGCCACUGAAACCUUGACAAGGAUUGCAUUGAGUCUGAAUAUUGGUUUAGGAUUACACAGGGGCCUCUCCCAGGCCGAAGAUGCCAGCUCCAGGCACAGUCGCAGCUGGUGGAGCAUGGGCUGCUUCAAAUGCCCAAGAGACUUGAGCAGUCUGUGCCACACUUAGUGCCCUGCUCACUGUCACUGCAUCACCCCCAGGAAGUCUGCCUUUGCUCCCUGUACGUUUCCCAUAAGGAAAUCCUGAAGACUGCUGUCGCCAUGGGUAUGUGCAAACUGUGCAGACACACCUGGCAGAGUGGUCAUCGGAUGAAGGUUUCUUCCUGAGCAAGGUUUCAGAAUGACAGGAAAAGUCUGGUUUGCUAGUGGCGUGACCUAUAAAAUGCACACGUCCACAGGCCUCACCACUUAAAGCGGCUAUUCCCUGGGGUGCUGUGAGGGUCAGCCUGGCAUACACUCACCCAGAGCAAGCCGAAAAAGAAGGGGUGCUCUGUCCACACUGUGGAACGCUAGUCAGUCAUGACGAGAGCAAAAUGCAGCCAUAACAGCAACAUGGCAGGAACACAAAGGAAUCACAUCUCACAAAGCAGGCAACAGGUUAGCUGCUGGGAAUGCAGGCUUAUGUGGUCCUGGCUUGCUGUAAUCAUAGGAACAGAGAGGCGUCCCGAGGCCAGGGGACGAGCCGGUGCGCCCAGCUCAGAGCAGAACUAAAGGCUGUGCUUGUUGACCAUUUGUCACCAGACAGAACUUUCCAUGGACUUUUCCUGAUUCUCCAGACACUACCAGAUCAUCGUGUAAGAUCUGGGAUCUCACUGUUCAUAGCAAAGUCAGAGUUCAGUGAGUUGAAGUGACUUGUCCAAGUCAUGCUGCUAGUCAGCUGCGGGCAAAGAGCCAUGCUGGGGCUUGUGGGCCUCACUCCUGCUCCCCACGAUGUGAUGAUGCCUGAGGACUGGCACAGCUUCGCAGAGGACGCCCUGCUGCUGUGGACAGCACCGUCAUCACCACAGUGGAAGUAUGUGGGCUUCCAGGUGGCCAGCACCAGUUACCCACAGAUAUCCCCAACAACACAAACGGGAGGGAACGAGGACACAGAUUGGACAACCAGCUUGGAUUUAUUCAUGCAUACAAGAACCGGGGUACAGGCCAGAUGCACAGGAAGGGGAGAGGAUUCACCAGAGACAGAGUGGGGAACAGAACAGGCAGACUGACGAAAUACACUGCCGAGGGGAGCAGCGGGCACGACAGGAGAGGUCUGCAGCGUCCUGUGGGACCCUCACCGGACGGCUGGGAUCAAACCCGCACUGCAGAGGCUGGGGACAGCUUCACAGUGCGGCGCUCA
Talpa occidentalis (Iberian mole) is the source of this 1628-nucleotide long non-coding RNA. RefSeq lists it as uncharacterized. The record is from RefSeq and is a predicted model, not a curated record. The transcript is spliced from 9 exons. NCBI's taxonomy places the organism in Eukaryota, Metazoa, Chordata, Mammalia, Eulipotyphla, Talpidae.